UUGACCUCGAAUCAGGUAGGACUACCCGCUGAACUUAAGCAUAUCAAUAAGCGGAGGAAAAGAAACCAACAGGGAUUGCCCCAGUAACGGCGAGUGAAGCGGCAACAGCUCAAAUUUGAAAUCUGGUCCCCAGGGCCCGAGUUGUAAUUUGCAGAGGAUGCUUUUGGUGAGGUGCCUUCCGAGUUCCCUGGAACGGGACGCCAUAGAGGGUGAGAGCCCCGUCUGGUUGGAUACCGAGCCUCUGUAAAGCUCCUUCGACGAGUCGAGUAGUUUGGGAAUGCUGCUCUAAAUGGGAGGUAUAUGUCUUCUAAAGCUAAAUAUUGGCCAGAGACCGAUAGCGCACAAGUAGAGUGAUCGAAAGAUGAAAAGCACUUUGAAAAGAGGGUUAAAUAGUACGUGAAAUUGUUGAAAGGGAAGCACUUAUGACCAGACUUGGCCCCGGUGAAUCAUCCAGCGGUUCCCGCUGGUGCACUUUGCCGGGGUUCAGGCCAGCAUCAGUUCGCUCCGGGGGAUAAAGGCUUUGGGAAUGUGGCUCCCUCGGGAGUGUUAUAGCCCAUUGCGUAA
This 564-nucleotide ribosomal RNA is filed under the name Pochonia chlamydosporia. RNAcentral describes it as "eukaryotic LSU rRNA". It matches the Rfam family "Eukaryotic large subunit ribosomal RNA", at positions 1 to 571 of the family's 3401-position model. The record is from RNAcentral. Lineage: Eukaryota; Fungi; Ascomycota; Sordariomycetes; Hypocreales; Clavicipitaceae.